AACGAACGCUGGCGGCAUGCCUAACACAUGCAAGUCGAACGAGACCUUCGGGUCUAGUGGCGCACGGGUGCGUAACGCGUGGGAACCUGCCCUUAGGUUCGGAAUAACUCCCCGAAAGGGGUGCUAAUACCGGAUAAUGUCUUCGGACCAAAGAUUUAUCGCCUUUGGAUGGGCCCGCGUUGGAUUAGCUAGUUGGUAGGGUAAAAGCCUACCAAGGCGACGAUCCAUAGCUGGUCUGAGAGGAUGAUCAGCCACACUGGGACUGAGACACGGCCCAGACUCCUACGGGAAGCAGCAGUGGUGAAUAUUGGACAAUGGGCGAAAGCCUGAUCCAGCAAUGCCGCGUGAGUGAUGAAGGCCUUAGGGUUGUAAAGCUCUUUUACCCGGGAUGAUAAUGACAGUACCGGGAGAAUAAGCUCCGGCUAACUCCGUG
RNAcentral lists this ribosomal RNA (433 nucleotides) under uncultured bacterium. Its description in RNAcentral is "partial 16S ribosomal RNA". It matches the Rfam family "Bacterial small subunit ribosomal RNA", at positions 29 to 507 of the family's 1533-position model. The record is from RNAcentral.